Molecule: non-coding RNA, 30 nt
Filed under: Mus musculus (house mouse)
Lineage: Eukaryota; Metazoa; Chordata; Mammalia; Rodentia; Muridae
Source: RNAcentral
UAGACAGAAUUAUCUUUUCAAAGGUGGGGA